This 289-nucleotide ribosomal RNA is filed under the name uncultured bacterium. RNAcentral describes it as "partial 16S ribosomal RNA". It matches the Rfam family "Bacterial small subunit ribosomal RNA", at positions 773 to 1060 of the family's 1533-position model. The record is from RNAcentral.
GUGGAUUAGAUACCCGGGUAGUCCACGCCGUAAACGAUGAUUACUAGGUGUUGGGGGUCGAACCUCAGCGCCCAAGCUAACGCGAUAAGUAAUCCGCCUGGGGAGUACGUACGCAAGUAUGAAACUCAAAGGAAUUGACGGGGACCCGCACAAGCGGUGGAGCAUGUGGUUUAAUUCGACGCAACGCGAGGAACCUUACCAGCGUUUGACAUCCCAAGAAGUAAACAGAGAUGUUUUCGUGCCUCUUCGGAGGAACUUGGUGACAGGUGGUGCACGGUUGUCGACAACU